AUUGAACGCUGGCGGCAGGCCUAACACAUGCAAGUCGAACGGUAACAGGAAGAAGCUUGCUUCUUUGCUGACGAGUGGCGGGCGGGUGAGUAAUGUCUGGGGAACUGCCUGAUGGAGGGGGAUAACUACUGGAAACGGUAGCUAAUACCGCAUAACGUCGCAAGACCAAAGAGGGGGACCUUCGGGCCUCUUGCCAUCGGAUGUGCCCAGAUGGGAUUAGCUAGUAGGUGGGGUAACGGCUCACCUAGGCGACGAUCCCUAGCUGGUCUGAGAGGAUGACCAGCCACACUGGAACUGAGACACGGUCCAGACUCCUACGGGAGGCAGCAGUGGGGAAUAUUGCACAAUGGGCGCAAGCCUGAUGCAGCCAUGCCGCGUGUAUGAAGAAGGCCUUCGGGUGGUAAAGUACUUUCAGCGGGGAGGAAGGGAGUAAAGUUAAUACCUUUGCUCAUUGACGUUACCCGCAGAAGAAGCACCGGCUAACUCCGUG
Molecule: ribosomal RNA, 490 nt
Filed under: uncultured bacterium
Lineage: Bacteria
Description: partial 16S ribosomal RNA
Rfam family: Bacterial small subunit ribosomal RNA
Source: RNAcentral